RNAcentral lists this ribosomal RNA (535 nucleotides) under uncultured bacterium. RNAcentral describes it as "bacterial SSU rRNA". It matches the Rfam family "Bacterial small subunit ribosomal RNA", at positions 8 to 521 of the family's 1533-position model. The record is from RNAcentral.
AGAGUUUGAUCCUGGCUCAGGACGAACGCUGGCGGCGUGCCUAAUACAUGCAAGUCGAGCGGACCGAACGAGGGCUUGCUCUUGUUUGGUCAGCGGCGGACGGGUGAGUAACACGUGGGCAACCUGCCCGCAAGACCGGGAUAACUCCGGGAAACCGGAGCUAAUACCGGAUAACACCGAAGACCGCAUGGUCUUCGGUUGAAAGGCGGCCUUUGGGCUGUCACUUGCGGAUGGGCCCGCGGCGCAUUAGCUAGUUGGUGAGGUAACGGCCCACCAAGGCGACGAUGCGUAGCCGGCCUGAGAGGGUGACCGGCCACACUGGGACUGAGACACGGCCCAGACUCCUACGGGAGGCAGCAGUAGGGAAUCUUCCGCAAUGGGCGAAAGCCUGACGGAGCGACGCCGCGUGAGCGAAGAAGGCCUUCGGGUCGUAAAGCUCUGUUGUGAGGGACGAAGGAGCGCUGUUCGAAGAGGGCGGCGCGGUGACGGUACCUCACGAGAAAGCCCCGGCUAACUACGUGCCAGCAGCCGCGGU